GAUGAACGCUGGCGGCGUGCUUAACACAUGCAAGUCGAACGGGAAACCUUUUAUUGAAGCUUCGGCAGAUUUAGCUGGUUUCUAGUGGCGGACGGGUGAGUAACGCGUGGGUAACCUGCCUUAUACAGGGGGAUAACAACCAGAAAUGGUUGCUAAUACCGCAUAAGCGCACAGGACCGCAUGGUCCGGUGUGAAAAACUCCGGUGGUAUAAGAGGGACCCGCGUUGGAUUAGCUAGUUGGCAGGGUAACGGCCUACCAAGGCGACGAUCCAUAGACGGCCAGAGAGAGUGAGCGGAGACACUGGGAGUGGGACACGGCCGAGACUCCUACGGGAGGGGGGAAUGGGGAAUAUAGCAAAAUGGGGGAAACCCUGAAGGAGCGACGCCGCGUGAAGGAAGAAAUAUCUCGGUAUGUAAAGUUCUAUCAGCAGGGAAGAUAGUGACGGUACCUGACUAAGAAGCCCCGGCUAACUACGUG
Molecule: ribosomal RNA, 478 nt
Filed under: uncultured bacterium
Lineage: Bacteria
Description: partial 16S ribosomal RNA
Rfam family: Bacterial small subunit ribosomal RNA
Source: RNAcentral